Molecule: RNA transcript, 5452 nt
Organism: Mus musculus (house mouse)
Lineage: Eukaryota; Metazoa; Chordata; Mammalia; Rodentia; Muridae
Gene: Wdr62
Gene name: WD repeat domain 62
Exons: 33
Source: RefSeq, marked validated
ACGGGAUGGAGAGCAGCUGGCUACAAUCUUCGCAAUCCUAAACCUCACUAUUUGUAUAGGCAAGAGUAGGGCGGUGUUGUUCCCGACCCCAAGCCCACGGCUCUUUGGCUUCACCCUACCCCUAUAUCCAUGAGACUGGUACAGCUUGAAUAACUUCCCGGGACUGUUGCAAAAGACAGGAUGAGCUCCAUCAAAGUUAAAAGCUGUGUGUCUAUGAACAGAGAAAGCACAGGUUAGUAGAGAAACCCAGCCAGACUCAGUAAGCAGUGAAAUAGACAGGCCCUGGCCCCACCUUCCUUUAGCUCCGCCUCUUAUCUCCCAUUGGGCAAUGAGCCUACCCGGAAGCUUUGUGAUUGGCCAGCCGGGGUGCCGGCUGCGUCCAAUGGGCGGUGGCGCCGGCUUUCCCGCGGCCAUUCGCUAUUCGAGUGGGUGCUGGCUACAGGCGGCUGUUAAGAAGCGUAACGGACACUGGUCUCCGACAGCAUGAUGGCUGCCUUAGCGGCCGGAGGUUAUACGCGGAGUGACACGAUAGAAAAGCUGUCCUCUGUCAUGGCGGGAGUUCCGGCGCGGAGAAACCAGUCCUCCCCGCCUCCUGCCCCACCGCUCUGCCUCCGGCGGCGGACGCGACUCGCGGCGGCUCCCGAGGACACUGUGCAGAACCGGGUGACACUUGAGAAGGUGCUUGGCAUCACAGCCCAGAACAGCAGCGGGCUAACCUGUGACCCUGGCACAGGCCAUGUGGCCUACUUAGCAGGGUGCGUGGUGGUGGUCUUGAACCCCAAGGAGAACAAGCAGCAGCAUAUAUUUAACACAACCAGGAAGUCCCUGAGUGCUCUGGCCUUCUCCCCAGAUGGGAAGUACAUAGUGACAGGAGAGAAUGGACACCGGCCAGCUGUGCGCAUCUGGGAUGUGGAGGAGAAGACUCAAGUGGCAGAGAUGCUGGGCCACAAGUAUGGUGUGGCCUGUGUGGCUUUCUCACCCAAUAUGAAGCACAUCGUGUCCAUGGGCUACCAACAUGACAUGGUCCUCAAUGUUUGGGAUUGGAAGAAAGACAUUGUGGUGGCUUCCAACAAGGUGUCAUGUAGAGUCAUCGCUCUCUCCUUCUCUGAGGACAGCAGCUAUUUUGUCACCGUUGGGAAUCGGCAUGUGAGGUUUUGGUUCUUAGAAGCCUCUACUGAGGCCAAGGUAACCAGCACAGUGCCCCUGGUAGGACGCUCAGGCAUCCUGGGUGAGCUGCACAACAAUAUCUUUUGUGGCGUGGCCUGCGGCCGGGGCCGGAUGGCAGGCAAUACCUUCUGUGUGUCCUACUCUGGCCUCCUCUGCCAGUUCAAUGAGAAAAGGGUGCUGGACAAGUGGAUCAACCUGAAGGUCUCCUUGUCUUCCUGCCUGUGUGUCAGUGACGAGUUGAUCUUCUGUGGAUGCACAGACGGGAUAGUCCGCAUCUUCCAGGCCCACAGCCUACUCUACCUCACCAACCUGCCCAAACCACACUACCUGGGAGUGGACGUGGCCCACGGACUGGACUCCAGCUUCCUCUUCCACAGAAAAGCAGAAGCAGUCUACCCAGAUACAGUGGCCCUGACCUUUGACCCCGUCCACCAGUGGCUGUCCUGUGUUUACAAAGACCACAGCAUCUACAUCUGGGAUGUCAAGGACAUUGAUGAAGUCAGCAAGAUAUGGUCAGAGCUCUUCCACAGCUCCUUUGUCUGGAAUGUAGAGGUGUACCCUGAAUUUGAAGACCAGAGAGCUUGCCUGCCGUCCGGGACUUUUCUGACUUGUUCCUCAGACAAUACCAUCCGCUUCUGGAAUUUGGAUAGCGCCUCUGACACUCGAUGGCAAAAGAACAUCUUCAGCGAUUCUCUGCUGAAGGUGGUCUAUGUAGAGAAUGACAUCCAGCACCUGCAGGACCUGUCUCACUUCCCAGACCGGGGCAGUGAGAACGGCACUCCCAUGGAUAUGAAAGCUGGGGUUCGAGUCAUGCAGGUCAGUCCUGACGGCCAGCACUUGGCUUCAGGCGACCGCAGUGGAAAUCUGAGGAUCCACGAGCUGCACUUCAUGGAUGAGCUGAUCAAGGUGGAGGCCCACGAUGCUGAGGUGCUGUGCCUGGAGUACUCCAAGCCUGAGACAGGAGUGACUUUGCUGGCUUCAGCCAGUCGGGACAGACUCAUCCAUGUGUUAAACGUGGAGAAGAACUACAACCUGGAGCAGACCCUGGACGACCACUCCUCCUCCAUCACAGCCAUUAAGUUUGCUGGCACCAGAGAUGUCCAGAUGAUCAGUUGUGGAGCUGACAAGAGCAUCUACUUUCGCAGUGCCCAGCAGGCCUCGGAUGGACUGCACUUUGUCCGUACCCACCACGUAGCAGAGAAGACCACCUUGUAUGACAUGGAUAUCGACAUCACACAGAAGUAUGUGGCAGUGGCCUGCCAGGACCGCAACGUAAGGGUCUACAACACCGUGAGUGGGAAACAGAAGAAGUGCUACAAGGGUUCCCAGGGCGACGAAGGGUCCCUGCUGAAGGUCCACGUGGACCCCUCAGGCACCUUCCUGGCCACAAGCUGCUCUGACAAAAGCAUCUCCUUGAUUGACUUUUACUCGGGCGAGUGUGUUGCCAAGAUGUUUGGCCAUUCGGAAAUUGUCACUGGCAUGAAGUUCACCUACGACUGCCGCCACUUGAUCACAGUAUCUGGAGACAGCUGUGUGUUCAUCUGGCACCUGGGCCCGGAGAUCACCACCUGCAUGAAGCAGCACUUGCUGGAGAUCAACCACCAGGAGCAGCAGCAGCAGCCCAAGGACCAGAAGUGGAGUGGCCCUCCCAGCCAGGAGACAUAUGCAUCCACACCAAGUGAGAUUCGUUCCCUGAGCCCUGGAGAGCAGACAGAGGAUGAGAUGGAGGAGGAAUGUGAGCCAGAAGAGUUGCUGAAAACACCAUCCAAAGACAGCUUGGACCCAGAUCCUCGAUGCCUGCUGACAAAUGGCAAGCUGCCACUCUGGGCAAAGCGGCUGCUAGGGGAUGAUGAUGUGGCAGACAGCUCAGCUUUCCACGCCAAGCGCAGCUACCAGCCACAUGGCCGUUGGGCAGAGCGGGCUGAGCAGGAACCCCUCAAGACCAUCCUGGAUGCCUGGAGCCUGGAUUCCUACUUUACACCCAUGAAGCCUGAAAAUCUCCAAGACUCUGUUCUGGACUCAGUAGAGCCACAGAACCUGGCAGGCCUGCUAAGUGAGUGUUCACUCGGUAAUGGACACACGUCUCCGGGAGAAGGCUUGGUGAGCUACCUACUUCACCCAGAGUUAGGGAGUCCCAAAGAGGACAACCGAGGCCACCCCUCCUACCUGCCUCUACAGAGGGAAGCCACCGAGGCAAGCGAACUCAUCCUCUGCUCCCCAGAGGCGGAAGUGUCACUUACAGGGAUGCACAGGGAGUAUUAUGAGGAGGAGACAGAGGCAGGACCUGAAGACCAGCAAGGCGACACCUAUCUCAGGGUCUCUUCCGUCAGUUCAAAGGAUCAGAGCCCCCCUGAGGACUCAGGGGAGUCAGAGGCUGAACUGGAGUGCAGCUUUGCCGCCGCCCACAGCUCAGCUCCUCAAACGGACCCUGGCCCUCACCUCACCAUGACAGCAGGUAAGCCAGAGUACCCAAGUACAGAAGAGCUUUCCCAGCCUGAGCUGCCAGGCUUGGGCAAUGGCUCCUUACCCCAGACACCUGAGCAGGAGAAGUUCCUCCGCCACCAUUUUGAGACACUUACUGAUGCCCCUACUGAAGGGCCCAUGGGUAUCUUCCUAGAGCUCUUUCAUGGAUCCCUGGGAGACAUAAAGAUCUCAGAGACUGAGGACUAUUUCUUCAAUCCCCGGCUGAGCAUAUCCACCCAGUUCCUCUCCCGCCUCCAGAAGACCUCCAGGUGCCCUCCCCGACUGCCCCUGCACCUUAUGAAGUCUCCAGAGGCUCAGCCUGUGGGCCAAGGGGGCAACCAGCCCAAAGCAGGGCCCCUGAGAGCAGGUACUGGCUACAUGUCCUCAGAUGGGACCAACGUCCUCUCUGGGCAGAAGGCUGAAGAAACUCAAGAGGCCUUGAGUCUACUGGUCCCUCCCCUCUCAGGCCUGACAUCCUGUGUCCCUCCUUCCUCGGUGCCACCCACAGACAGGAAGCCUCCAACACCCACAUCUGUACUGACCACAGGCCGGGAGCAAAGUAUCUCCGCCCCAUCUUCGUGUUCUUACCUGGAGUCCACAACGAGCUCACAUGCCAAGACGACACGCAGCAUCUCUCUUGGGGACAGUGAGGGCCCUGUGACAGCUGAGCUACCCCAGUCACUUCACAAGCCCUUAUCCCCUGGCCAGGAACUCCAAGCCAUCCCCACUACAGUGGCACUGACCUCCAGCAUCAAAGACCACGAGCCUGCACCGCUUUCCUGGGGCAACCAUGAGGCCCGAGCCAGCCUGAAACUGACCUUAUCCAGUGUCUGUGAGCAGCUGCUCUCUCCACCUCCACAGGAGCCACCCAUCACCCAUGUGUGGUCUCAGGAACCUGUGGAUGUCCCACCUAGUAUGGCAGUCACAGUAGCCAGCUUCUGUGCACCCAGCCCUGUAGACAUGAGCACCCUGGGACUCCACAGUUCUAUGUUUCUCCCAAAGACCUCAGCCUCUGGGCCCCUAACCCCUCCUGCCCACCUCCAACUUCUAGAGACCAGGUCUAGGGUGCCUGGCAGCACUGCUGCUCUCCUGGAGCCCACCCCCGGUGAGUACGACCCUUGGGGCGUGGCUAGAACCCUAGCCCAUCUCCAGGGCUGCUUGACUCACCUCCCCAAGUGGACACAGCCUGGCCACAGGGGCUGUGCCAGGUUCACUCAUGCAUCCAUCCAUUCCCUCAUUACAAUAGCCAAUGAGCAUAUGCUGGCCUUUGUUCUAGGUCCUGCGCCUGCGCGUAGGAGACAUAGUAGCAAACAAGAGAAGGUUGAUUUCCUACACUAGAUGCAUCAGGUGUGAUCGCAGACAGCCCUGGACACUGGGACACAGAAGUCCCUACCCCAGAACUCCUAGGCAGUGUGGAAUCAGUCUUGCACAGGCUGCAGACUGCCUUCCAAGAAGCUCUUGACCUUUACCGCAUGCUGGUCUCCAGCAGCCAGCUGGGUCCUGAGCAGCAGCAGGCACAGACCGAGCUGGCCUCCACCUUCCACUGGAUCCUCAACCAGCUAGAAGCCAGCAACUGUAUGGCUGCAGCUAACUUGGCCCCACCCCAGACACUGCCUAGCCCAGACCCUCUGUCCCUACCUACACUUUGUCCCCUGGCCAGCCCAAACCUGCAGGCCCUGCUGGAACACUACUCAGAGUUGCUGGUGCAAGCAGUGAGGAGGAAGGCAAGGGGUGACUGAGAACCUGAAGCCCCUCUACCAAAGCCCCGCUGCCCUGGAGAAAUAGAUUUGUAAACCAAUAAACUGACAGUUGUUUCCUGGAA